Molecule: long non-coding RNA, 340 nt
Organism: Amphibalanus amphitrite
Lineage: Eukaryota; Metazoa; Arthropoda; Thecostraca; Balanomorpha; Balanidae
Exons: 3
Source: RefSeq, a predicted model, not a curated record
GUACAGACUCAUACAAAAAUUACUACCUACCUAUUGGUCAGCAUCUGGGUCAGAAGACAAAACAUGAAGUUUAAUGUGUCUCAUGUUGGUAAAACUGGAGGAAGGCUGGGCAUUAUAUCAUUGGAGAAGAAUUCUUCUGGGACAGCCAUUACCUUGGAAACACCAUUCAGCUUGACAUACACAAGGGGCGGCUUUGUGCCGCACCUCAUCCCGGAGGUGACGGAGCGGCUGGCCUGGCGCAGCCCCCCCGUGAUGCAGGCACCCCUCGCCUCCCAGGCGGCCCUGCAGUCCGUACUGGAGGAGUUCGGCAAGGGCUACCGUACCUUCGCCGGCCUCGAGG